This is a long non-coding RNA of Hypomesus transpacificus, 1422 nucleotides long. RefSeq lists it as uncharacterized. The transcript is spliced from 2 exons. The record is from RefSeq and is a predicted model, not a curated record. NCBI's taxonomy places the organism in Eukaryota, Metazoa, Chordata, Actinopteri, Osmeriformes, Osmeridae.
UAGAAUGAGCUGGGAGUCACUCUCCCCCUCCCGUUAAAAUGUUCUUUCCAGAGAGGAAGUCAGGUCGAGAUGACCUGAUAGGGUUGUGUAAGGCAAGGGUUGUGUAAGGACAGCCAAUUGAGGGAGGACAUCUGUUUAUCUUGAACAAACUGUGGAGUCUGAUAACUGCCAAAUAUAUUUGUGUGACGUAGAAAGACUGUAUAAAAGUUCUUGUCUAACAAUACUUGGGCAGACUUCCCUGGCGAGAGAAGUUCUGCGCAUGAUUUCCAAUCUGCCUGGCAACAAUAAAGACAAAGACCUUUGCAAACAAUCUCCUGACUCCAAGCCUGUUAAUUCUUGCUUAAGAACCACUUUCGAGACCCCAACAAUUGGUGACCCCGACGUGAUUCGCUACAUCUACAUUUGAGAAGAUCUGCCUGUUCCAUCCCAAACGCAUCAUGAGUGUGCCAAAAAGACCGGUAGAGGGAGGAGCCAGAGCUGUCCUGUCGCCUGACCAGACCGUGCCAGCUGCUACUCUGCGCGUGACCGCCCAGGAGGUGCUCAGCCUCAAAUUCCCUCUUCUCCGAGAACGCCUCGUCGAGAUGAACAGGAAAUGGGCCAAGCGCACUGCCAAGAUGACAACAGUCUGGCCAGAGCACGGGACUUUCGAUCUAAGCCUCUGCGACGACAUGAGGGUCCUGAUCGCCAACCACAGCCAUUCUGGUUCGGCCAAGAAAAAACUCAAAAAAACGCAAUGAGGAAGCUGAGUUUCUGAAGCUGUAUGAAAAACAAGGACAGAACUAUUGUGAUACGGCUAAGGCUUGCUUGCUCGCAGCCAAGACCGAUCAUGAGACUCAAGAGAGGGCCUCCCCUCCCCCAUACGCUAAAGAGGAGAGCGGCUCUGCCCCACCCAGAAAGACUGUGUAUACGGGUGAGGCAGAGAACCCAAGAUAUUCAUCAUCCAUCUUGGCCCAGAACCCUGUUGGACCCCUCCCAAGCCCUGUAAUGAGUCAGGGAAGGCUAGUCCGUAUCAAGGAGCCUCCUUCAUACCAUCAAGCGCCCAUCCUGGUGAGGGGAACUCAGUUGAAUUAUGUGCCCUGGACAACAAUGGACAUGACUGGUUUAAUUGCUCGGCUCCCCAAUCCAUAUGAGGGAGCGAGUAGGUGGAUUAAGGCGUUCGAGCAAGAGACACUGGGCCAUAACAUAGCCAUUGGAGACAUCACGUCUCAACAGGCCAAACUGAAAGGGACUGAGGGGGGGGAGAAAGCAUUAACGGAUAUCAAACUGAGUCUACAACAGGCACCAGCUCUGGCCCUCCCGAACUACGAGAAACCCAUCUUCCUGUAUGUAUCCAAUCAUAAUUUACACACACCACAUAAUUGCGAGUCUUGUUGAACAGGGUAAAUUUCGGUUGACAGAGGCACGGGGUUGGGAGAUUUAAAA